GACGAACGCUGGCGGCGUGCUUAACACAUGCAAGUCGAGCGGUAAGGCCUUUCGGGGUACACGAGCGGCGAACGGGUGAGUAACACGUGGGUGAUCUGCCCUGCACUUCGGGAUAAGCCUGGGAAACUGGGUCUAAUACCGGAUAUGACCUCCUAUCGCAUGGUGGGUGGUGGAAAGAUUUAUCGGUGCAGGAUGGGCCCGCGGCCUAUCAGCUUGUUGGUGGGGUAAUGGCCUACCAAGGCGACACGGGUAGCCGACCUGAGAGGGUGACCGGCCACACUGGGACUGAGACACGGCCCAGACUCCUACGGGAGGCAGCAGUGGGGAAUAUUGCACAAUGGGCGAAAGCCUGAUGCAGCGACGCCGCGUGAGGGAUGACGGCCUUCGGGUUGUAAACCUCUUUCAGCAGGGACGAAGCGCAAGUGACGGUACCUGCAGAAGAAGCACCGGCUAACUACGUG
Molecule: ribosomal RNA, 461 nt
Filed under: uncultured bacterium
Lineage: Bacteria
Description: partial 16S ribosomal RNA
Rfam family: Bacterial small subunit ribosomal RNA
Source: RNAcentral